UACGUAGGGGGCAAGCGUUGUCCGGAAUCAUUGGGCGUAAAGCGCGUGUAGGCGGUCCGAUCAGUCGGCUGUGAAAGUCCAGGGCUCAACCCUGGGAUGCCGGUCGAUACUGUCGGGCUAGAGUCCGGAAGAGGCGAGUGGAAUUCCCGGUGUAGCGGUGAAAUGCGCAGAUAUCAGGAGGAACACCGGUGGCGAAGGCGGGUCUCUGGGCAGUAACUGACGCUGAGGAGCGAAAGCGUGGGGAGCGAACAGG
Molecule: ribosomal RNA, 253 nt
Filed under: uncultured bacterium
Lineage: Bacteria
Description: partial 16S ribosomal RNA
Rfam family: Bacterial small subunit ribosomal RNA
Source: RNAcentral